GACGAACCGUGCGAACGUUGUUCGGAAUCACUGGGCUUAAAGGGCGCGUAGGCGGUUGGUCAAGUCAGGGGUGAAAUCUUUCGGCUCAACCGGAAAACUGCCUUUGAUACUGACUGGCUGGAGGGAGAUAGGGGUUGCGGGAACUACCAGUGGAGCGGUGAAAUGCGUUGAUAUUGGUAGGAACGCCGGUGGCGAAAGCGCGCAACUGGAUCUCUUCUGACGCUGAGUGCGCGAAAGCUAGGGGAGCAAACGGG
This 254-nucleotide ribosomal RNA is filed under the name uncultured bacterium. RNAcentral's name for it is "partial 16S ribosomal RNA". It matches the Rfam family "Bacterial small subunit ribosomal RNA", at positions 524 to 776 of the family's 1533-position model. The record is from RNAcentral.